Long non-coding RNA from Oncorhynchus tshawytscha (Chinook salmon), 582 nucleotides. NCBI's taxonomy places the organism in Eukaryota, Metazoa, Chordata, Actinopteri, Salmoniformes, Salmonidae. The record is from Ensembl.
AGGGGAGAGAUGGUAAUGAGACAGGGGAGAGAUGGAAGGGGAGAGAUGGAAGGGGAGAGAUGGAAGGGAGACAGGGGAGAUAUGGAAGGGAGACAGGGAAGAGAUGGUAGGGAGACAGGGUAGAGAUGGAAGGGAGACAGGGGAGAGAUGGUAGGGAGACAGGGAGAGAUGGAAGGAGACAGGGGAGAGAUGGAAGGAGACAGGGGAGAGAUGGUAGGGAGACAGGGUAGAGAUGGAAGGGAGACAGGGGAGAGAUGGAAGGGAGACAGGGGAGAGAUGGAAGGGAGACAGGGGAGAGAUGGUAAUGAGACAGGGUAGAGAUGGAAGGGGGACAGAGGAGAGAUGGAAGGGAGACAGGGUAGAGAUGGUAAUGAGACAGAGUAGAGAUGGAAGGGAGACAGGGGAGAGAUGGAAGGGAGACAGGGUAGAGAUGGUAAUGAGACAGGGUAGAGAUGGAAGGGAGACAGGGGAGAUAUGGAAGGGAGACAGGGGAGAGAUGACAGGGGAGAGAUGGAAGGGGAGAGAUGGUAGGGAGACAGGGGAGAUAUGGAAGGAGACAGGGGAGAGAUGGAAGGGAGACAG